GCUAGUAAUCGCGGAUCAGCAUGCCGCGGUGAAUACGUUCCCGGGCCUUGUACACACCGCCCGUCACACCAUGAGAGUCGGGGACACCCGAAGUCCGUAGUCUAACCGCAAGGGGGACGCGGCCGAAGGUGGAUUCGAUAAUUGGGGUGAAGUCGUAACAAGGUACC
Molecule: ribosomal RNA, 167 nt
Filed under: uncultured bacterium
Lineage: Bacteria
Description: partial 16S ribosomal RNA
Rfam family: Bacterial small subunit ribosomal RNA
Source: RNAcentral